UGCCUAAUAGUUUUUAAUGAUUCAGCCACGAGGGUUGUUCAAUCAGUUCAAUCAAGAAUUACUCAAUAAAAGGAAAGAAUCUCGAUAAAAAAUAUCAAUCUUUAUCUUGAUAGGAUCAUAAAAAAUAAUAAUGCCUACAAUUAUGCACUAUAAUAUAACCAACCUAUGUCUAUAUUUUAUGAAGGUAAGUCUUUUCUCUUUAAUCAAUUUGAUACACUAUUCUCUCAUAUUACUUUUAAUUUGAGUGUCAAAUGUUUCUCACCAAAAACACUCAGAUGGACUUUUGAUCCAUUUUUUAUCUGUUUUGUUUUGUAGAUCCAUAUCCACAAGAUUAUUUUUUUUUUGACAAAACAAACUUCAUUAAAAGAUUAAAGCAAAGAAAUAUGAUGAGAAACAAGAUGAGCUACAGCAUGUGGAACUUCUUCUACCCAAACUUGCUCCUAAGCAUCAUCAGUACUAAACUGAAACUUAGACAAGGCAUAAGCAACAACAUUACCUGAACAAUGCACAUAUAACUACGAACAAUCACUGCAGAAACUCAAGACAAUCUUGAAUAACAAGACCUAGACCAUUAUUCAGAACCUCUUUAGAUUGCAACAUCAAACCAUACGAAAUUGCCAUAGCCUCAGAAACAUUUGGUGCCUAGGAACCAACAACCGACACUGCUGCCAAAACCAGUCCCCUCUCAUCUCGGAAAACCACACCCAGUUGAACCAUAUCUAGUGCAAAAUAAUCUGCAUCGACAUUCAAUUUAGCAACGCCUUGAGACGGUGGAGACCAGAUAGAAGAGCCUCACGAAACAGAAUGCAAUGGAUCCACACUCUCAAUAUCCUUUGUUUGCUGAUACUCGACAUGAUACUAUCCUGCUUUAUUCACAACCUUAUGUGGCCACCACUGGCAAUGCUCAAACACUACCUUAUUUCUGCUAACCCAAACAAAAUAACACAAGCAUGCUACUUUCAUCAUUUCAUCUGACAAACAUCUGUUUAGAAGAGCCAACCACCAAUGCUUGAAAUUUAGCCCUAAUACACACAGAGCCAUCCCAAACCACAUAAAUUCCAAGCAUUAUGAACCUGUGCACAAUCACAACACAAAUGAACUAGAGUUUCUUCAAGACUGCACAAAGGACAUGAUGGACUAAUGGAAGAGAUGCAGUGAUUCAACAGUCCUUUUGUUGGCAAAAUAUCCAACGCAGCACGCCAAAUGAAGUUAAUAGUCUUUGGAGGAGCAGCUAAUUUCCAGAUGGAUUUCCAAAUUUGAGAAUGUGUCUCUGAAGAGGUUAAGGCUAACAAUUGGUUGGAAAUUUUUAACUCCACAACCAACCGAUAACCACAUUGAAUUGAAUAGAAUCCACGAGAUUCAAAAUGCCAAACCAUUUUAUCUUAUCG
RNAcentral lists this unclassified non-coding RNA (1388 nucleotides) under Hevea brasiliensis (rubber tree). Lineage: Eukaryota; Viridiplantae; Streptophyta; Magnoliopsida; Malpighiales; Euphorbiaceae. The record is from RNAcentral.